This 651-nucleotide ribosomal RNA is filed under the name uncultured Rhizophagus. Its description in RNAcentral is "SSU rRNA". It matches the Rfam family "Eukaryotic small subunit ribosomal RNA", at positions 624 to 1276 of the family's 1831-position model. Lineage: Eukaryota; Fungi; Glomeromycota; Glomeromycetes; Glomerales; Glomeraceae. The record is from RNAcentral.
AAGCUCGUAGUUGAAUUUCGGGGUUAGUAGGUUGGUCAUGCCUCUGGUAUGUACUGGUCUCACUGAUUCCUCCUUCCUGAUGAACCGUAAUGCCAUUAAUUUGGUGUUGCGGGGAAUUUGGACUGUUACUUUGAAAAAAUUAGAGUGUUUAAAGCAAGCUAACGCUUGAAUACAUUAGCAUGGAAUAAUGAAAUAGGACGUUCGAUCCUAUUUUGUUGGUUUCUAGGAUUGACGUAAUGAUUAAUAGGGAUAGUUGGGGGCAUUAGUAUUCAAUUGUCAGAGGUGAAAUUCUUGGAUUUAUUGAAGACUAACUACUGCGAAAGCAUUUGCCAAGGAUGUUUUCAUUAAUCAAGAACGAAAGUUAGGGGAUCGAAGACGAUCAGAUACCGUCGUAGUCUUAACCAUAAACUAUGCCGACUAGGGAUCGGAUGAUGUUAAUUUUUUAAUGACUCAUUCGGCGCCUUACGGGAAGCCAAAGUGUUUGGGUUCCGGGGGGAGUAUGGUCGCAAGGCUGAAACUUAAAGGAAUUGACGGAAGGGCACCACCAGGGGUGGAGCCUGCGGCUUAAUUUGACUCAACACGGGGAAACUCACCAGGUCCAGACAUAGUAAGGAUUGACAGAUUGAGUGCUCUUUCUUGAUUCUAUGGGUG